GCUUCCCGAUGGCUGGAUUAGGCACCGGCCUUCUAAGCCGGCGGUUACAGGUUCGAUUCCUGUCGGGCGCGCCA
RNAcentral lists this transfer RNA (74 nucleotides) under Stenotrophomonas sp. yr243. RNAcentral's name for it is "tRNA_Pseudo_TCT". It matches the Rfam family "tRNA", at positions 10 to 71 of the family's 71-position model. From Rfam's summary of the family: Transfer RNA (tRNA) molecules are approximately 80 nucleotides in length. Their secondary structure includes four short double-helical elements and three loops (D, anti-codon, and T loops). The record is from RNAcentral. Lineage: Bacteria; Pseudomonadati; Pseudomonadota; Gammaproteobacteria; Lysobacterales; Lysobacteraceae.